RNAcentral lists this ribosomal RNA (486 nucleotides) under uncultured bacterium. RNAcentral describes it as "partial 16S ribosomal RNA". It matches the Rfam family "Bacterial small subunit ribosomal RNA", at positions 28 to 507 of the family's 1533-position model. The record is from RNAcentral.
GAUGAACGCUGGCGGCGUGCCUAAUACAUGCAAGUCGAACGCUGGAGAUCUAGCUUGCUAGAUCGAAGGAGUGGCGAACGGGUGAGUAAUACAUAAGCAACCUACCCACGAAGACUGGGAUAAUCUCUGGAAACGGGGACUAAUACCGGAUAGGUAAUCGGAAGGCAUCUUCUAGUUAUUAAAGGUUAAAAACACUGGUGGAUGGGCUUAUGGCGCAUUAGUUAGUUGGUGAGGUAACGGCCCACCAAGACGAUGAUGCGUAGCCGGCCUGAGAGGGUGAACGGCCACAUUGGGACUGAGACACGGCCCAGACUCCUACGGGAGGCAGCAGUAGGGAAUUUUCGGCAAUGGGGGCAACCCUGACCGAGCAACGCCGCGUGAGUGAAGACGGCCUUCGGGUUGUAAAGCUCUGUUGUAAGGGAAGAACGGUAGAUAGAGAAUAUCUAAGUGACGGUACCUUACCAGAAAGCCACGGCUAACUACGUG